UUAAUGUCGAGAAAAUAAUUUUCUAUCUAAACAAAAAAUAAAAAAAUUUAAAAAUGGGAGCAGAAACCAGAUGAGUCUUGGCGAGACUUUGUACCCAAGACUUUGCAUGAAGCCCUCAUUGCUCACAUGCCUCUCCCUCCUGCUUUUCAUUCCCCACAUUCCAUUCCCUUGGACCCCUCUUUAAAAACCCCUCAGUAAAUCUGAGUCUUUGAGAUGGCUUUAGUCUGCCCAUUCUCCUUCAGGUUUACUGGAGAGGUGGGUCAGCCAAACAUCUCUCCUCAAGUUACCAGUAUUCCUGAAUAAAGCUGACUUCCAUUGUCACCACAUUUGGCUUUUGAGUGGUUUGUUUUUGAAAGGGGGCAGGAAGCUGGACCUGUAUGCCCUGUAUCAAAUUUGGGGGCACCUCAGCCAGGAGCUGAGUGUGCCUGGCUCUUCAAAUAGUCAACAUGUAACUACAGGCAAGGUUUAAUUAUCAUCUCUUAAAAUGAGAAUAAUAUAACCCACCCCCUCUUUGCUUCCCAUGGCUAUCAUGAGAAUUAAUUAGGUCUUUAAUAUGAGUAUAUAUCUGUAAAAUGUGUUAUAGAUAACUAGAGGUAAACACAAUGAAACAUGAGGUAUUGUUUAAUGUAUUGUGAAUGUUUAUCGCUGUUGUAUUUAGCAAUCUGCUUCCAUCUAAGUACAAGUAUUAUAGCAACAGAGAUAGUAUACAAAAUAAUGAAUACAAGUUGGGUCAGCAUCUCCUCCAAUUGCCAUUUGCAAACAUGUCCUAGAUGGCCAUAUCUAACUGGAAGGCUGAGACAAAAAUAUGUCUUCCAUACUAAAGAAGGGAAGAUUUACAUAGUGCAAUGUCCUGAAUUUUGUAGUUCCUGCACGAAAUCUUCAAAGUCUUCAAAUCUAGGCCAUGCUACAAGGAGAACAGCAGCAACAGAGGACUGGUACAUUUCUGGAACCUCCACAGUGCCUCCUUAGUUUUGUAAUUUUUUGAAGAAGCAUGUAAAAAUUCUUCCACCAAUUCCUUAAUAGUACAGCAAAUAGGAAACAUUCUCUCCCCAUCAUUGACACCCAGAAGAAUGAAAUACCAGCACAUUCCAGGACGUGGCUGGAACCAUUUGAUGAAAGAUUUGUUAAAACCUGUGCACUGUGAUCUAGACCAGAGUUUCUCAACCUCAACUGUGUGGACAUUCGGGUCAGAUAAUUGUUGUGAGGGGCUGUCUUGUACAUUGUAGGAUGUUUAGCAGUGCCCCUGGCCUCAACCAACUAGAUGCCAGUAACAUCCCCACACCCCCCGCCACCAGGUGUGACAGCCAAAAUUAUCUCCAGACAUUGUGAAAUGUCCCCUGGCAGGGAGGGGAGGAAUCACCCUCAGUUGAAAACCACUGAUUUAGACAAUGACCAAAGUGGGAUAACUGAAUCAAAAGAAACUGGAAUCUUAAGUUAAUCAAGCAUCCUUCUCUGAAAUCACUCCAUACUUUUAUAUAUUGCAUUUAUAUAUUGGGUAUCUGUAUUGCAUCAGUUCAGCCAAUGUUUGUUGAGCUCUCAAUGGAGAAGGCACAAGAUCAAGAACUUCUGUGCACCCGUGAAACAGAAAUGGAAAUGGUAUGUACCAGCUCUCCAGAGCAGGCACAUGUCAUUCCAUCCCAAUAUUUACCCCCUGAUCAGGGUUGUCAAAUAUUGCAUGAGACAUACUUAUACUAAAAAAGUUAAUCAUUAUUUGUCUGAAAUUCAAA
Molecule: long non-coding RNA, 1727 nt
Organism: Galeopterus variegatus (Sunda flying lemur)
Lineage: Eukaryota; Metazoa; Chordata; Mammalia; Dermoptera; Cynocephalidae
Exons: 2
Source: RefSeq, a predicted model, not a curated record